CCUACGGGGGGCUGCAGUGAGGAAUCUUCUGCAAUGCGCGCAAGCGUGACAGAUUGAGUCAGAGUGCUUUUCAUAUGAAAAGCUUUUGCCAAAUGUAAAAAGUUUGGCGAAUAAGGACUGGGUAAGACGGGUGCCAGCCGCCGCGGUAAUACCCGCGGUCCAAGUCGCAGCCAUUAUUAUUGGGUCUAAAACAUCCGUAGCUUGCUUAGUAAGUUUCUUGUGAAAUUCCAUGUCUUAAAUAUGGAGCGGGCAAGAAGUACUGUUAAGCUAGAGACUGGAAGACGUAAGAAGUACGUUUGGAGUAGCGGUAAAAUGUGUUAAUCCCAGACGGACUAACAACAGCGAAGGCAUCUUACGAGGACAGUUCUGACAGUAAGGGAUGAAGGCUAGGGGCGCGAAAGGGAUUAGAUACCCGGGUAGUC
RNAcentral lists this ribosomal RNA (422 nucleotides) under uncultured bacterium. RNAcentral's name for it is "bacterial SSU rRNA". It matches the Rfam family "Archaeal small subunit ribosomal RNA", at positions 322 to 746 of the family's 1478-position model. The record is from RNAcentral.